UUUUUAGUAGAAGUAUUUCUCAUGCAAUAUUUGGAACAUACUUAUACUAAAA
This 52-nucleotide microRNA precursor is filed under the name Equus asinus (donkey). Its description in RNAcentral is "mir-1302 microRNA precursor family". It matches the Rfam family "mir-1302 microRNA precursor family". RNAcentral also lists the same sequence under 1 other name. The record is from Rfam by way of RNAcentral. Lineage: Eukaryota; Metazoa; Chordata; Mammalia; Perissodactyla; Equidae.